CGCGUAGGCGGUUCGUACAGUCAGACGUGAAAUUCCUGGGCUCAACCUGGGGGCUGCGUUUGAUACGUGCGGGCUUGAGUUCGGAAGAGGGUCGUGGAAUUCCCAGUGUAGAGGUGAAAUUCGUAGAUAUUGGGAAGAACACCGGUGGCGAAGGCGGCGACCUGGUCCGAUACUGACGCUGAGGCGCGAAAGCGUGGGGAAGCAAACA
This 208-nucleotide ribosomal RNA is filed under the name uncultured bacterium. RNAcentral describes it as "partial 16S ribosomal RNA". It matches the Rfam family "Bacterial small subunit ribosomal RNA", at positions 568 to 774 of the family's 1533-position model. The record is from RNAcentral.